This 253-nucleotide ribosomal RNA is filed under the name uncultured bacterium. RNAcentral describes it as "partial 16S ribosomal RNA". It matches the Rfam family "Bacterial small subunit ribosomal RNA", at positions 524 to 776 of the family's 1533-position model. The record is from RNAcentral.
UACGGAGGGGGCUAGCGUUGUUCGGAAUUACUGGGCGUAAAGCGCACGUAGGCGGCUUUGUAAGUUAGAGGUGAAAGCCCGGGGCUCAACUCCGGAAUUGCCUUUAAGACUGCAUCGCUAGAACGUCGGAGAGGUAAGUGGAAUUCCGAGUGUAGAGGUGAAAUUCGUAGAUAUUCGGAGGAACACCAGUGGCGAAGGCGGCUCACUGGCUCGGUACUGACGCUGAGGUGCGAAAGCGUGGGGAGCAAACAGG